GGAAGGAUCAUUAUCGAACAGAAUGUGAGAGGCAUGCGAGCGCUGUCGCUGACCCAAAAGUCGUGCACGCCCGAGUGUGUUCUCUCACAUGAUCAAUCCAUCUCACCCUUUUGUGCAUCACCGCGUGGGCACCCUUCGGGAUCGUCUCGGAGGGGGCUCGCGUUUUCACACAAAACCCCCCUUUUAAAAAAAGUGUAGAAUGACCUCAUUUAUGCGCUAACCCGCAAUCAAUACAACUUUCAACAACGGAUCUCUUGGCUCUCGCAUCGAUGAAGAACGCAGCGAAAUGCGAUACGUAAUGUGAAUUGCAGAAUUCAGUGAAUCAUCGAAUCUUUGAACGCACCUUGCGCCCCUUGGUAUUCCGAGGGGCACACCCGUUUGAGUGUCGUGAAAACCUCAACCUCCUUGGUUUCUUCUGGAGACCAAAGCAGGCUUGGACUUUGGAGGCCCUUUGCUGGCACCUCUCUUUUGAAGGCCAGCUCCUCUUAAAUGAAUUAGCAGGGUCCUCUUUGCUGAUCCUCGACGUGUGAUAAGAUGUUUCCAUGUCUUGGUUUCUGGCUCUGUCACCUUUGGGACCCGCUUCUAACCGUCUUGACCUUGCAUCGAGACAACGUUCGAGCAUGUCUCCCUUUCUCGGGAAGCUCCCUCGACCCCACGAACCCCUUGACCUCAAAUCGGGUGAGACUACCCGCUGAACUUAAGCAUAUC
RNAcentral lists this small RNA (708 nucleotides) under uncultured fungus. Its description in RNAcentral is "eukaryotic LSU rRNA". The stretch from base 235 to 388 matches the Rfam family "5.8S ribosomal RNA". Lineage: Eukaryota; Fungi. The record is from RNAcentral.